CCUGUAUGACAGCCUCUGUACCAAAAGAGAAUUUAAAGGGAGUUUCACCUAUUGGGGUCCUCUGGAUGGUUCUGUAAGUUAGUAUAUUGUACAGUUCAUCAACUCAAGCUCCUUUGGCUCGAUCAAUUCUGGCUUCGAGUCCUCAUAGAAUGGUUCUAUUGAUAACUUUGGCUUCAUCAUUAGCUUGAGGAUGUCCUACCAAUGUAAAAUGU
RNAcentral lists this long non-coding RNA (212 nucleotides) under Elaeis guineensis (African oil palm). RNAcentral's name for it is "long non-coding RNA (EGUI_LNC024408)". Lineage: Eukaryota; Viridiplantae; Streptophyta; Magnoliopsida; Arecales; Arecaceae. The record is from RNAcentral.